Molecule: non-coding RNA, 148 nt
Organism: Gorilla gorilla gorilla (western lowland gorilla)
Lineage: Eukaryota; Metazoa; Chordata; Mammalia; Primates; Hominidae
Rfam family: Metazoan signal recognition particle RNA
About the family: The signal recognition particle (SRP) is a universally conserved ribonucleoprotein. It is involved in the co-translational targeting of proteins to membranes.
Source: Rfam
GCCGGGCAUGGUGGCACAUGCCUGUAAUCCCAGCUACUCAGGAGGCUGGGGCAGGAGAAUUGCUUGAACCCAGGAGGUGGAGGUUGCAGUGAGCCGAGAUUGCGCCACUGCACUCCAGCCUGGGUGACAGAGCAAGACUCUGUCUCAA